Neopsephotus bourkii (Bourke's parrot) is the source of this 404-nucleotide long non-coding RNA. RefSeq lists it as uncharacterized. The transcript is spliced from 2 exons. Lineage: Eukaryota; Metazoa; Chordata; Aves; Psittaciformes; Psittacidae. The record is from RefSeq and is a predicted model, not a curated record.
ACCAAGAACAGGAGGUUACCAAUAUUUGUUGGUGUUAACAGAUACUUUUUCAGGGUGGCCAGAAGCAUUCUCUUGUGGAAUAAAUAAUGCAAGACAAGUAAUUAAAACAUUAUUAAACAACAUAAUACCUUGGUUUUGGAUACCAGCGGCAAUUUCUUCCGACCGGGGUUCACACUUUAGUGCCAAAUUGUUACAAGAAAUUAGCAAAAAAUUAGAAAUUGAUUGGCAACUACAUGUUCCAUAUAGGCCUCAGGCCAGUGGGCAAGUAGAAAAGAUGAACCAUCUGAUUAAACAACAAAUUAGUAAAAUAUGUCAGGAAACGAAUUUAUAUUGGUACCAGGCAUUACCACUGGCUCUAUUAAGAAUUCGAACUAAACCCCGGUCAAAAGAAGAGGUUAUCCCAU